RNAcentral lists this ribosomal RNA (164 nucleotides) under Symphyotrichum novae-angliae. RNAcentral describes it as "5.8S ribosomal RNA". It matches the Rfam family "5.8S ribosomal RNA". From Rfam's summary of the family: 5.8S ribosomal RNA (5.8S rRNA) is a component of the large subunit of the eukaryotic ribosome. Lineage: Eukaryota; Viridiplantae; Streptophyta; Magnoliopsida; Asterales; Asteraceae. RNAcentral also lists the same sequence under 40 other names. The record is from RNAcentral.
CAAACGACUCUCGGCAACGGAUAUCUCGGCUCACGCAUCGAUGAAGAACGUAGCAAAAUGCGAUACUUGGUGUGAAUUGCAGAAUCCCGUGAACCAUCGAGUUUUUGAACGCAAGUUGCGCCCGAAGCCAUUCGGUUGAGGGCACGUCUGCCUGGGCGUCACGC